UACGGGGGGGGCAAGCGUUGUUCGGAAUUACUGGGCGUAAAGGGCGCGUAGGCGGGUUGACAAGUAUCUCGUGAAAGCCCACGGCUCAACCGUGGAAUUGCGGGAGAUACUGUCUGUCUUGAGUCCGGGAGAGGAGGGUGGAAGUCCCGGUGUAGCGGUGAAAUGCGAAGAUAUUGGGAGGAACACCGGUGGCGAAGGCGGCUCUCUGGGCCGGUACUGACGCUGAGGCGCGAAAGCUAGGGGAGCAAACGGG
This 253-nucleotide ribosomal RNA is filed under the name uncultured bacterium. Its description in RNAcentral is "partial 16S ribosomal RNA". It matches the Rfam family "Bacterial small subunit ribosomal RNA", at positions 524 to 776 of the family's 1533-position model. The record is from RNAcentral.